UGUCAGUCAGACUGUGAGGACUGCUCACAAAAACACUGCUGAUUGCUUUCACUUGAAUUCAUCUCAUCACUACACCAUGGGUGCUCGGCAGUCCACCAUUCAUAUUACAAACAAGACCCACGGCUACACCCUUUGUAACCCCAGUCUACAUCUUGUUAGCGGACUUUGCCAGAUUCCUUUGCCAACAAAACUCAAGCCUUCUGAAUCUGGCAAUGCUCUGUUCUCUAAGAUUGGUGGCACAGCGUGUGGAUCUGUUGGAGUCUUCACCUACGAUCUCUACAAUCCAGCUACAGACAGAGCUGAUAAGAAAAUUGCCAUCAUGUUCUCUGUUCCUUUUGACUAUGGCCGGUACUCUAACUGGUUUGCAGUCGGAGCCUUUGACAGGGAAACAAACUGUGAUAAUGAUCUUUAUCACAAGAUGUAUUACAGUGAUGAGAGAGGGUUUGUCAGAGGAAAAGCUGAUGGUCAUGAUCUGAAACACAGAGAUGAUGAUGUUGUCGUUACAUCGGGCAUGACAAACUCCAGUGUUGCAACACUGAAAGUUGAUGUACACAACAGGGAACAAAUCAUUAAAAUGAGAGGCUUAAAUGAGAGGUCUUAUUGUUUUUAGGGCAGAUCUAGCAAAAUGGCAUGAUCACCCUUCAUUAAUAUUAUCUGGAUUUACUCACCCUAAGGCUGAUGAUCAGGAUAUCAGAUGGUUAAGGGCCCCAGGGCUUCCCUUUCUUCUACAGAAAAUGAUCCUUAUAAAAUCUAGAGCAAAGAUAUGCCAGUAAAACACAACACUGUUGUAAAAAGGACAUCCGAUUAAGGCUGCAGCUGUUUGAAAUUGUGAACCAGCUUCACAGUACAGAAAACUCAGGUUAACCCUAAAGUUACUUGAAUAAGCUAAAAUCCUCUGGAGUUAAAACCUUUAGUACUUUAAAAAUUAGCUUUGACAUUGAAUCAUUAAAGAUCAGCUAAAGCAGGCACAACAUGGUCACAUAGACGGAAUAUAUGAGUUGGAUAACUGGUCAAAUCAGACUGAA
Pundamilia nyererei is the source of this 1025-nucleotide long non-coding RNA. RefSeq lists it as uncharacterized. The transcript is spliced from 3 exons. Lineage: Eukaryota; Metazoa; Chordata; Actinopteri; Cichliformes; Cichlidae. The record is from RefSeq and is a predicted model, not a curated record.